AGAACUUUUUUGUGAUAGUAAAAUGUUCGUUCCCAAGUUGUUGCUGUUGCUUUCCUAAAAACACAAACGAAAGCACAACAAACCGCCCAACCGUAUUUACAACAGAUAGAUAGCGCGCGUGAGUGUUAACCGCUAAUAUUGUACCUUCUCAUCUUGAUUAAAAUGGAGGCUCUCGAUACCCCUAAGAGUAGACUCAAAGUUCCUGAUGCCUGAUAUGUUUCGGGCGGAGGUUGUACGGUUCUGAUCAGCUGGUAAAACAGGGGUAUGCCUUUGUGCACCAGAAAUUUUGUGUACAGCUCCUAAACUUGGAUCUGUAACUGGAAUGCGAGAUGGGUCGGUUUCACAUCCUAGGUGGGCUAAAUCUUGACUGCUAGCGAUGGCAGCUCGUCUUGAUGAUCCACUUGAACGUACAAUAUUGGAGUUUGGUAGUAUGGGUUCCUUGGCAACAGCAGGAUCAUUUGUGGCUGGAGGUUUUUGUUUAGACAAAUUUCCAGUGCCUGUAACUGGACCGGAGUUUCU
This 519-nucleotide unclassified non-coding RNA is filed under the name Hevea brasiliensis (rubber tree). Lineage: Eukaryota; Viridiplantae; Streptophyta; Magnoliopsida; Malpighiales; Euphorbiaceae. The record is from RNAcentral.